CUCGGUGAUUAAAGCGCCGUCGAACUACCCUUUUCCAUUCCGAACAAGGAAGUAAAAGGCGGCAGCGGGGACGAUAGUUCCGCCGCAAGGUUGAGCGAAAAUACUUCAUCGCCGGGG
RNAcentral lists this ribosomal RNA (117 nucleotides) under Candidatus Gottesmanbacteria bacterium RBG_13_37_7. Lineage: Bacteria; Candidatus Gottesmaniibacteriota. The record is from RNAcentral.